UACGUAGGGGGCAAGCGUUGUCCGGAAUUAUUGGGCGUAAAGCGCGCGCAGGUGGUUCUUUAAGUCUGAUGUGAAAGCCCACGGCUCAACCGUGGAGGGUCAUUGGAAACUGGGGAACUUGAGUGCAGAAGAGGAAAGUGGAAUUCCAAGUGUAGCGGUGAAAUGCGUAGAGAUGCGGAGGAACACCGAUGGCGAAGGCAGCCCCCUGGGCUGACACUGACGCUCAGGCACGAAAGCGUGGGGAGCAAACAGG
This 253-nucleotide ribosomal RNA is filed under the name uncultured bacterium. RNAcentral describes it as "partial 16S ribosomal RNA". It matches the Rfam family "Bacterial small subunit ribosomal RNA", at positions 524 to 776 of the family's 1533-position model. The record is from RNAcentral.